This 490-nucleotide ribosomal RNA is filed under the name uncultured bacterium. Its description in RNAcentral is "partial 16S ribosomal RNA". It matches the Rfam family "Bacterial small subunit ribosomal RNA", at positions 29 to 507 of the family's 1533-position model. The record is from RNAcentral.
AGUGAACGCUGGCGGUAGGCCUAACACAUGCAAGUCGAACGGCAGCACAGAGGAGCUUGCUCCUUGGGUGGCGAGUGGCGGACGGGUGAGGAAUACAUCGGAAUCUACUCUGUCGUGGGGGAUAACGUAGGGAAACUUACGCUAAUACCGCAUACUACCUACGGGUGAAAGCAGGGGAUCUUCGGACCUUGCGCGAUUGAAUGAGCCGAUGUCGGAUUAGCUAGUUGGCGGGGUAAAGGCCCACCAAGGCGACGAUCCGUAGCUGGUCUGAGAGGAUGAUCAGCCACACUGGAACUGAGACACGGUCCAGACUCCUACGGGAGGCAGCAGUGGGGAAUAUUGGACAAUGGGCGCAAGCCUGAUCCAGCCAUACCGCGUGGGUGAAGAAGGCCUUCGGGUUGUAAAGCCCUUUUGUUGGGAAAGAAAUCCAGCCGGCUAAUACCUGGUUGGGAUGACGGUACCCAAAGAAUAAGCACCGGCUAACUUCGUG